AACGAAAGAUGGAGGCAUGCCUAACACAUGCAAGUCGAACGAGACCUUCGGGUCUAGUGGCGCACGGGUGCGUAACGCGUGGGAACCUGCCCUUAGGUUCGGAAUAACUCCCCGAAAGGGGUGCUAAUACCGGAUAAUGUCUUCGGACCAAAGAUUUAUCGCCUUUGGAUGGGCCCGCGUUGGAUUAGCUAGUUGGUAGGGUAAAAGCCUACCAAGGCGACGAUCCAUAGCUGGUCUGAGAGGAUGAUCAGCCACACUGGGACUGAGACACGGCCCAGACUCCUACGGGAAGCAGCAGUGGGGAAUAUUGGACAAUGGGCGAAAGCCUGAUCCAGCAAUGCCGCGUGAGUGAUGAAGGCCUUAGGGUUGUAAAGCUCUUUUACCCGGGAUGAUAAUGACAGUACCGGGAGAAUAAGCUCCGGCUAACUCCGUG
Molecule: ribosomal RNA, 433 nt
Filed under: uncultured bacterium
Lineage: Bacteria
Description: partial 16S ribosomal RNA
Rfam family: Bacterial small subunit ribosomal RNA
Source: RNAcentral